CUCCUACGGGAGGCAGCAGUGGGGAAUAUYGCACAAUGGGCGAAAGCCUGAUGCAGCAACGCCGCGUGAGGGACGACGGCCUUCGGGUUGUAAACCUCUUUUAGUAGGGAAGAAGCGAAAGUGACGGUACCUGCAGAAAAAGCACCGGCUAACUACGUGCCAGCAGCCGCGGUAAUACGUAGGGUGCAAGCGUUGUCCGGAAUUAUUGGGCGUAAAGAGCUCGUAGGCGGUUUGUCGCGUCUGCUGUGAAAACCCGAGGCUCAACCUCGGGCCUGCAGUGGGUACGGGCAGACUAGAGUGCGGUAGGGGAGAUUGGAAUUCCUGGUGUAGCGGUGGAAUGCGCAGAUAUCAGGAGGAACACCAAUGGCGAAGGCAGAUCUCUGGGCCGUAACUGACGCUGAGGAGCGAAAGCAUGGGGAGCGAACAGGAUUAGAUACCCUGGUAGUCCAUGCCGUAAACGUUGGGAACUAGAUGUGGGGACCAUUCCACGGUCUCCGUGUCGCAGCUAACGCAUUAAGUUCCCCGCCUGGGGAGUACGGCCGCAAGGCUAAAACUCAAAUGAAUUGACGA
RNAcentral lists this ribosomal RNA (570 nucleotides) under uncultured Cryobacterium sp. RNAcentral describes it as "bacterial SSU rRNA". It matches the Rfam family "Bacterial small subunit ribosomal RNA", at positions 336 to 916 of the family's 1533-position model. The record is from RNAcentral. Lineage: Bacteria; Bacillati; Actinomycetota; Actinomycetes; Micrococcales; Microbacteriaceae.